AACGAACGCUGGCGGCAUGCCUAACACAUGCAAGUCGAACGCUCUCGGGGCUUUGGUCUCGGGGGAGUGGCGCACGGGUGAGUAGCGCGUGGGAACCUGCCCUUUAGUGGGGGAUAACCGAGGGAAACUUCGGCUAAUACCGCAUACGCCCCGGGGCGUGGUCUUCGGAUCAGGCUGUGGGGGAAAGAUUGAUCGCUAAAGGAGGGGCCCGCGUCGGAUUAGCUGGUUGGUGGGGUAACGGCUCACCAAGGCGAUGAUCCGUAGCUGGUCUGAGAGGAUGAUCAGCCACACUGGGACUGAGACACGGCCCAGACUCCUACGGGAGGCAGCAGUGGGGAAUAUUGGACAAGUGGGCGCAAGCCUGAUCCAGCAAUGCCGCGUGAGUGA
RNAcentral lists this ribosomal RNA (387 nucleotides) under uncultured bacterium. Its description in RNAcentral is "bacterial SSU rRNA". It matches the Rfam family "Bacterial small subunit ribosomal RNA", at positions 28 to 408 of the family's 1533-position model. The record is from RNAcentral.